AUGUCAGAAUAUUGUUUUAUUUGUACUCAUCUUUUAACUGAAAGUGAAACUGUAACUGUUGAUCGUGGUAUGAAGACACUGAUUAAUGCAAGUGCUGAAAGAGAUGAUGGAUACUCGGAAUUUCUUAAAAAACAAAAAUCUGUGACAAUACAUAGCAACUGUCGUAAAAUUUAUACGCGGAAGUGUUCUAUUGCUGCUGCCAUCAAAAGAAAACGCGAAGAACAAGAAGCUAAUACAUCUACAGGAUCUACAGUAAGUAGUCCUCCUCGUACUAGAUCCCGUUCAAGUGAUUCAGCUUUUUGUUUUAAAAAACUAUGUUUAUUUUGUGGCAAUAAAUUGAAUGAAGAGUUGCAGAGAAAAAAAUCCUUAGAUCGUCGCAGUAAAAUUUGUCAAGUAAGUACACUCCAAUUCAAACAUUCAAUUUUGGAAGUAGCACGAACUCGUUCCGAUGCUAUAUCGAAAGCUGUUGUUGCUCGAAUCGAAUUUGACUAUGAUUUAGUUGCUGCUGAAGCAAAGUAUCACCAAGAAUGUUAUACUUCUUUUUUGAAACCGACUACUGGCGGUACAGUUGGUCGUCCUAAAGAUGAAGCAACAGAUCUGGCAAUGCAGGAAAUAUUUACAUACAUUGAGAGUAGCAAUGACUGUCAGUUUACUUUGGCUGAGUUAAAAGAUGUUAGCAAAAUUUUAACUUUAGAUAACAGGACUAUUAAGCUGCGACUUAAACUGAAAUAUGGCGAUAAAAUUAUUAUCACUGAAAAACCGGGAGCGUUAACAUUUGUAUGUUUGAUAAACAGUCACCAUGAAAUUUUAAAUCAAUCUUGGUCCGAAAAUAAAAAAAUUAAUAAACAAGAAGAACGAUUAAAAACUCUAGAAGCAGCAGCAUCUAUUAUUCGAGAAGAUAUUCAAUCCUCGGUAUUUGAUAAUUCCUACUACCCUCCACCAGGUCGAAUGUUUGAAGAUUUAAAUAAUGACAUCCCACAGUCACUGACAUUUUUUUUGGAGCAAAUGAUCUUAAAAAAUAAACGAUCAAAUUUCGAUCAUUUAAAACUAGUAUGCACCAAUAUUUGUCAUAGUAUCAUGACUGCUAUUCGACCAAGAUCGUUCAAGUCCAAAUUACAGUUAGGUCUUUCAGUUUUUUUUCAUCGGAGGUUCGGGUCUAAGCGUCUUAUACAAAUUUUGUCGUCUUUUGGUUUGUGUGCUUCUUAUAAUGAUACAUUGAUGUACGAGUCAGCAGCAGUUUUUCAUCCUCUUCCUCAUGUCCUACCACCUGAAAGUGGCACACUUAUUCAAUACGUUGCAGAUAAUGCUGAUAUAAAUGUUAAUACACUAGAUGGUAACAAUUCACUCCACAUAAUGGGUAUAAUUCAAAUUGUAACUCCAAAGCACUCUGUUUUACUAGAAGAACCUAUGCAACGAAUAAAAGAAGUUCUUUCAGCAAAACACUUCAAAGCAAAAGCUCAUGUGCCAAUACAGAUCUAUCAGAAUAGUGAUGUAGUUGGUUACAGUAAAAUAUAUGUCCAAGAUUUUGGAUAUGGAACUGAAACAGUAUCUUUUCAUAAAAAUUCUGAUGUAGUAUGGUUUUAUGGAAAGUGGAAAAAUACAUCAUUACCUGGUUGGAACGGUUUUAUUGAGCGCUUAACAAAUUACCAUACAAAUUAUUCAAAAUCUCAGAUUACAUUUUUACCAUUCAUCCAUCAACCAGCUAGUAACUAUAAUACUGUCUAUACGACUUUACUUUGUGCAUUAGAGAACGCGAAACGUUACGGCCACACUGUAUGCAUCGUGACUUUCGACCAACCCUUGUAUGCGAAAGCUCGAGAAAUUGUAUCAGCCGCACCUGACGGCUCUGAAGUAUCGAAGAUUAUUGUCAGACUUGGAGGAUUUCAUCUACUCAUGUCUUAUCUCGGAGCAAUUGGUUAUAUUAUGCAAGGUAGCGGGAUAAAAGAAGUACUCUCAGAAAUCUAUGCACCAAAGUCAUUAGAAAAAAUGCUCAAUGGUCAUGCUUACGCAAGAGCUGUUCGAGCACAUACACUACUCCAGCUGGCUUUAGCAAUUACAAUAUUAAAAACAAUAGAUAUUAAUGAUAUCAUGGGAGCAGAUUUAAUCAUAAAUAUUGACCAUAUAUUAGAUAGCACUCUUUCAUAUUCAGAUAUUGAAAAUGAUAAUGAAGUAUCAGGUGCUUUACUUCAUAAAUUUAAUAUGAAAUUGAAAGAUUUUGAGGAACGAGGACCAACAGCGCAACUUUGGAUACAAUAUUUUAAUAUGGUUUCACUUGCAAAAGAAUUUUUGAGAGCUGAGCGUAUGGGGGACUGGAAAGCUCAUUUAAGUUGUGUAAAAGAAAUGUUACCUUAUUUCCACUCGUCAGGACAUUUUCCAUAUGCUAAAUCUGCACACUUGUAUUUACAAGACAUGAUGCAAUUACAGGACUCGAUGGAUCCUGAAGUUUACGAAAAAUUUACCGAAGGAUUUUUCACCGUGAGACGCUCAGAUAAAUUGAGUUGUGGAACUUCUACAGACAUGGUUAUCGAACAGUCUAUGAUGAAAGCCAUGAAGACAGAUGGAGGUAUUGCUCGAGGAAGAAGUACAAAACAAAGUGUAAUCAGUAAAUGGGUUUACAGCAUGCAUGCAAUGAACAGUUUGUGAGAAAUUAGAAGAUCUUGCUAAUGUUAGGAUGGAUACGACUGAACAGCAUGUUGAUGCCAGUGAUUCACGUGUAAAAAAAGACGCUAAAGACAUACGAAUGCUUCUUGAGUGGUUCUCGAUUCAUGAUCCUUUCCCAGAGGUUAACAAAGUCAUCUCGAUUGCAAGUGGUGUCGUUGGUGAUAAUACAAUUAAUUGCUAUAAAGCACGUGAACUUGGGCUUAUCUCUAUUGCUAAAAUAACUGGACUGACAUUUAAAGAUAUUAAACUUAAACGCGCUGACAAAGUUGUUCCUCUUUUAGCUAUGAGUAGCACCGUAAAAGUUCACGAAGAAAAAGUACCUGUUGACCCAGUGUUAUUAUUCCAACGUAUGAGUGUUACUGCGGCUUUUCAAGAUGAAAUUGAGAAAUAUUUCGAGUAUGAAUUAGCUCCUUAUCCGUUAACAUUAUUUGAUGACAUUGGAAUGCGCAAGACCCAGAAGUCGGCUAUUUACGAUUGUUUUCAGACUAUAAAUGUUGAUAUUAAUAACACUAAUUCAACGUACAUAAUUGACGGAGGAUUCUUAUUACAUCGAGUGGUGUGGGAUAGCGAGGAAACAUUUAACGUUAUCUUAGAUAAAUACGUUCAAUAUGUACGUCGACAUUUUGGUUCCAGAGUUACUGUCGUAUUUGACGGAUAUGAUGAUUAUACGAGAAAUAUUAAAGCAGCAGAGCAACGCCGUCGAAAUGCUGCUUCAUCAACUUCUUCUGAUAUUAUAUUCGAUGAAUCAAUGACAGUUCCUACCAGUCAACAGAAAUUCUUUGCAAAUAAUCACAAUAAAUCUAGGUUUAUUUCGAUGUUGAAAGCAAAAUUUACUGCUGAGAAUAUAUCCGUUGAACAAGCUAAUGAUGAUGCUGAUGUAUUGAUUAUUGAAACAGCGAUAAAGAAAUUCAGUGUGACAAAUACAACUGUUGUUGUUGGUGAGGAUGUUGAUUUACUCGUCUUGCUUACUGCUCGAACUCCAACUGAAAAAAUUAUUUAUUUUUUUAAACCCGGAAAAGCCCAAAAUCAAUCGGAAAUAUAUUCAUCAAACAGUUUAUCCAAUUUUCCUAAAUGUCAAAAUCAUGUAUUGUUUCUACACGCAAUAACUGGCUGCGAUACGACAUCUGCUUUUUACAGGAGAGGAAAAACAACAGUUUUCAAAAUGUUUGAAAAAAAAGAUUUACUACAAUGUGCUGAAGUUUUUAAAAAUAGUAAUUCAACUCAACAACAUGUUAUCACCAACGGAGUUCAAUUUCUUCUUGCUAUGUACGGAGCCCCCAAAAAAACCACUUGCUUAGAUAAGUUGCGAUACACAUCUUUCGUGAAAAAUACGCGUAAUAAAAAACAAGUCAACUUAGCUUCUCUUCCUCCAACCUCAGUAGCUGCUCAUCAACAUCUGUUUCGGGUAUAUUACCAAGUUCAAGUGUGGCUUGGUAAUCAGCUGGACCCUAAAGACUGGGGUUGGAAGUUGAUCGACAAUACACUAGAAUUAGUAUCCUAUUAGCAUGUCUCUUAUUGUCCAUAUUGUUCAAUAACAGGAAAUCCUUGUACUUAGCUUAAGUUUAGACAUCAUUAUAUUCUGUUAUUACAUCCUUUAUUGUCAACAUUAAGUAGAAUCAGGAAACCUUUGUACUUAGCCUAAGCCUAUAUAUUGUUGUAAUCCAAUAAAGAUAAGCAGUUGAGUUUCGCUCUUCAAGCCGAACACACGCCUCCAAAUCGCUUUUUAAAAACCCUCUUGCCAACGCCCACAACCUAACUCGAGACAGUCUUAAUAUUGAUAGAUUUGUCAAAAAAUGUUCGUUGUGUGUUUAAUGGGAUGCACUUAAAGAAAAAAAAAAGCGUAAAUACCAUUUUCAAAAUAUCCACCUGGUGCCAGAAAAAUGGCCUUAACGCUCCAUUUUUACUCCCCUGCUGCUUAUAAGUACGUGCGUAAAAUGUUCAACACAUGCUUACCACACCCUAAUACGUUGUACGAAUGGUAUCAGAGGGUUGAUGCGGAUCCCGGAUUUUGUACAGAAACUUUAAACAGGUUAGAAGCAAAGGCAAAAGAAUUUAAGAAAAAAAUAUUAUGCGCCCUUGUUGCCGAUGAGGUGGCAAUAAGGAGAUAAAAAAUAUGGACGGGCAAGCGUUAUGAGGGUUUGGUAGACAUGGGUUUGGGAAGCGAUGAUAACAAUCAAAUGGCUACUCAGUCAAACGUCUUUACGAUGGUUGCAAUUAAUGAUAAUUGGAAAUUACCACUGGCUUACUUUUUCAUUGAAACUUUGAAGGCAGACACGAAAGCCAACUUGAUUAAAACAGUACUAGAAAAAUGUGAAAAAUAGAGAUUCAGAUUCGUUCGGUAGCAUUUGAUGGUUGUAAAAGUAACAUUGCAACCAUGAAAAGGUUAGGGUGCGAGAUAGAUAAUGCAGAAAAUUUUAAAACAAACUUUAGACAUCCUUGUGCACAUUACGAUAUUGUUGUGUUCCUAGAUGCUUGUCAUUAUGGUAAAGUUAAUGAGAAAUACUUUUGAAUAAUAAAAAAAAAUACACACAUCUAAUCAAAAACAGAUUAACACAUUCACUGCGGGUCACCCACAAUCGCCCCGAUACUGUGCCGAAUCACUGUGCGCACGGAAUAAACAAAUCUUUUUCGAUCGUGCAAAACAGGGUUUUCUAGGCAUUUUUACGAGCAUGACAGAGACAACUAUAGUUUUCGAAUUGUGACAAGAUAAAGUAAUAUUGGCAGUUUACUUAUGGGGGUUUACACGGGUGACUAAAGCCGCACGAUUUUUGCCGCGCGGCGUAAAUCGACCAUCUAAAUGGCAAUUCGGCUAAGUUGCAAUUGACUAAAGCCGCAAGCCCCAAAGUUGGGUAGCAUCCGACUUUGGCCGCGCGGCAACCGGCCGCAUGCGACUGGUGACUAAAAUCGACCGUGUAAACGAUCAGUUGCAGGCGAUCGCCCGCCGUAUGAAGGUGUUUCGCGCACGCACGUGUAUUUAUUUACUACAGCGUUUCUGUGUACAUGUAUCGUAACAACCAUGAAUAAAAAUAACACCAUACAGUUUUUGGAAUGCUAUGAAAUGCAUCCAUGCUUAUGGAACCCAAGAGAACAAGAUUACAGAAACAAUAAUGUACGUUUAGCGGCUCUUAAAUCUAUUAUUCAAGAAAUGCGUUUGUCCAUAACAGUUGAAGAGCUUAAAUUGAAGAUAAAAAAUAUACGAACCACAUAUAAUAGAGAGGCCAGUAAGGUAGCAAAGUCAAAAAAGAGUGGCGCGGGAAAGGAUGAUAUAUACAGACCUCAAUUAAUUUGGUUUUCUGUAGCUGACCGCUUUUUAAAGCCAGUGAUAGAAGGAAGAAACAGUAAAGAUAACAUGGGAAAAGAUUCAGCGGUGAACACAAACAGCGACGCGUCUUCAUAUUUUGAUGAAUUGGAACAAGAAGAUAAUAUUGCGCCCUUACAAAAGAAAAAAAAAUUGUCUCCAAAGAAAAAGGCGGAGCGUGCUCUAAUGGACGCACCUAAAAUGGACCCACCUGUUUUACAAGCAGUCAAUAGAUUAGAAACUUUGGCUCAAACUAUCCGUCAAGAUGAAUUUGAUACAUUCGGAGUACAUGUGGCAAGCCAAUUACGUAGUUUGCCAUUAAGAAAUGCUAUUGUUUGUCAAAAUUUCAUCAAUAAUUAUUUGUCACAAGAAAGACUGAAAACCUUAACACAACAUUUUCCAAUUGCUAGACCUACGAGUUCACUUUCAGAAUAUUCACGCUAUACUUCGACUCCAGAAGCCGAAGCUACUACUUCCAGAAACCAAGCUUUUCAAUACCAGCGUGAAACUUUGACUUCCGAAGCUUCCACUUCUAGAAGGCACCUCGAUUAUGAAGAAGACUAUUUUGCCAGCUGUUUACUUACACAAAAAAAUACUGGGCAACAAUACGGAGUGAACGACGAUAUUCUCUCUCAAGCUGUUAGGUCAUGCUUAGAUGAAAACAUAAUGGAAAAUUUAUAAAUAAAUCGUUUAUAAUUAAUUACUAGUUUCACUUACCAUCAUGAACUCCUGUAAAACAUUGUAUAUAGCAUCCAAAACAUCCUUCAAAAACAAGGAAAUUGUGCAUUCUGGAACUCUGAAUGACUCUGCAAGACUUGAAUAGUUAUCACCGGUAGCCAGGAACUUCAGGGUUAUUUCUAAUUUAAUUUUCGGAGAAAGUGCUACUCGCAUAUUGGUAUCGCAUUUUUGUAUAAGCGGAGUAACCUUAUAUAGUAAAGUAUUAAACUGAUCAGUAGUCAUUCUUAAUCGUUUUUUAAAAUAAUCAGGAUCUUCUAAACUCCACUCAACCAAUAAAGUAUCCGAAGCACCCAAGUCCUUACGUCGAGAAAUCCAUCCACGUACCCAAACAUUACGUUUUCUUCUUUCCUUUUGUUUUUUCUUCACUCUUUGUUCUUUAAGCAAUUGUUGAAUAAUUGAAUAAUUAAUUAUUUCAAUUCCGGCACAAACGGCUAUUCUGCUCAACAUUUUCAAUGGAAAUGACAGAGCCGCAUGCGAUUUUAGUAACCAGUGUAAAUGGGCUAGCGAUGCGGCUUGGUGAGGCAAUUAGUGAAGCGACUCGCCGCACGGCGAAAAUCGACCCGUGUAAACCCCCCAUUACUGUUGUGCUGUGCGGUUAGCGAGUGCCCAGAGUGUGUGUGUUACCAUGUAGCGAUGUUGUGUCAGCGCAGAAGUGUGCCGAGUAACGAAACGCAGGACCCGGGACCAGGUGAGUUGUUCGACACUUUCUUUCCCAACAUCAGUUAAUUGCGGGUAGUUGUCGAUCAGCCUGGGAAAGCUGCGUACUCAUUUUAUUCUAAGAAUAAAAUUUGAGUUACGUUAACGCCUUUGAGUCUGGCCAUUUGUGUCCGUUCACAGUCCUCCUCUGCCCUUCGGGGUUAGGAGAGGCUGCUACUAAGCCCGUGUAAGCUGAUUUACGUGGUGGAUCACGGCAACGUCGGGAACUCGUAAUCAGUUUGCUCUUAGAUUCAGUAGUGCGUAGUAAUUUCUCUUUUAUUGUUUUAAAUUGUUAUUAUUUCCUACUGCUUAAUUAACUAUAAAAUUUAAAUAUAUUAAUUAUUAUAAAUUAUUCUAUUAUUGUAGUCAACACAGUCGCCUACUAGCGUCACUGUGGUAAAUGUUGAAUCAAACCUUCUUUAUAGUUUUUAUACACAACUGUUUUAUUCUUUUACUUGUCACUUCGACUUUGUCAUUCUCUCUCCAUAAAAUAAAAUGUUCAUUGUUUUACUUUAAUUAUCGUUUAUUUUAAAAUCCACAACAGUAAAUUCAUUUAAUUUUAACUUAGUAAAUUUAGAUAUACCCUCAAUAGUUGUAAUAUUUUUAUUUCUUGUAAAUAUAAACUUAAUCCCUAUAAUUGCAUACUGGCGAACCGACCGACCUUUUUAAGUGGACAUUGAUAAUAUUAGUUUUCCUUUUCUUUAAUUUUCCUUGAUAAUUACGAAACAUACUGUAGAUUUUGCCGUCGUUGCUGAAUAAUAUUUAGUUUUGUUUUCUUUUUUUGUAGAAUUAAAUUAGUUUAUGUAGUUGUUAGUAUUCUAUCCCCUCCUUAUUUACAAUCUAGGAUGGAAUCUAGCAGGUGCAUCUAGUAUCGUGUCGGGGUGACUGAUGGCUGAGCGGAGAUUCCGAGACUGAGUCCGGAGCAACCGACUCUGUCGUCUUCAGUCAGAGCACACUCGCUCUCGAUACAUACAUGUACAUUAGUGUUAAUUAAUAGUUCUUUAAUUUUGUUUUUUUUUUACUUAAACCAAAUUUUUAUAGCAAUAGUAUUAUCAUUAUUAGUUAAAUAGUUUUUAAUUUAGAUAUUGAUUGGAUUUGGAGCCCUCAGUGGCAAGUCCGUUUGUUAUUUUUUCUGUUUGUUUAUUAUUCUUAAUUUUCUUACGUACAUUAUUAGCCUGUCGCGGCGGGUGCCGCAGGGUGGAUCGAGGCAGAUUGUAAGUUUGAUUUAAUUUAUUACUCUAUUAUUUACCUUAUUAUUUUAUCAUUACGCUACAACUCUUUUACAUUAUUAAUCAGUCAUUCAGUUUAGUUUAGUUAUUACAAAGUAUAACAAUACCUGGCACCCUUGUUAGAUAACUCUAGCAAAUUCAUCGGUCGGUAGCUAACGUUACAGUUAGUACGGAUGAAUCGACAGUCGUAGUGACCCGUAAUUAAUCGGCUAGAACAUGUCUGGGGGGCGUCACCUCCCAUUAUCAGCACUCCCGCCCGUCUCGCAAGGGACGUCAGGCGAUGCCUCAAUUAAAUACCAGACCAACACCAGCAUGUAUAAGUAUAUAUUUUUGUCGAUGUUGAGUAACCGUGCACGCUGCGAACAGCUUUCCCCUUUUUCAUCACGUCCUGCACCCACAUCACCCCUACCCUGUGUGGCAGGGAGCUUCUGCCCGGACAGUGGAGAUUGCCCAGAGGCCCGUUCCGUGCCCUACCCUUACCCCCUUACGGGGGUACGGCAUCCGCAACCGCGCCUUAAAACUUACCAGUCCAACUGAUAGCAAUGUUGGCUACCAUUUUAAAUGCUAUCGGUAUACAUAAGCCGGGCAAACCGAAAAACGAAACCGCUAGUUACCGUCCGAUUAGUCUCCUUCCGACGAUAGGCAAAAUUUACAAACGACUCCUUCGGAAACGCCUCUGGGACUUCGUUACCGCGGACAAAAUACUAAUAGACGAACAGUUUGGAUUCUUUGCUAAGCACUCGUGCAUAAAACAAGUGCACCGCCUCACAGAGCACAUCUUAAUCUCUUUUUUUUUUGCUGGCAGCACUGACCGCUACUUGUCAAUAUUAUUGUGCUCUCUCAAUUAUUAUUUAAAUUAAAAUAUUUAUAAGUUUUGUAUUGUGCUUAAAAUUAUAUAAAACGUAUAUCUAAGUGAUAAUAUAAGUUUAUUGUUACGUAAAACAUUUAAUUAGUGCAUUUUACUGCAUAAUUGUAUUUUUUAUUUAUUUUACGAUGGUAAUAUCAAUUAUUUUCUACAAAUCCAAAAUGAUGACCAGAGGUACCAAAGCUCGUCAAGUUGAUGACCAACUUCAAGUGGCUCUUCAACAACUAAAAACAUCACGGGAACAGUGUCAACAACUGCUAAAAGAGAGAGAAGAUAACGAAGUCGAAACACUUCAGGUAAUAAAGAAAAAUACCAUGUUGAAAGGACAGUUGUCUCAGCUCUUCAUUGAAUACAAUGAAGUUCUUGAGACUAACAAUAAAUUACAACCAAUCCAACAAAAACGCAGUGUAUAAUUGUUGGCAGCCAAAGGACAUGCAGUAAGAUAGAGUGGACACAUCUGCCCCAAUUGUCUCUUGACGGGAUUGUGAUGUAUGAAACAUUCCUUAUAAUCUAUGUUAACCUACCUAAUGUAAUCGUAAGUGUAAUCCUAUAUAAACUAAGUGUGUAUCAAAUAAAUCAGAGUAUUAUUCGGACCCUCGUUGGUUUGAUUACAAAUAUAUCCCUCCGACGCAACACCUUAUAUGGCGACCCUGCCGACGGAGUCAUCUUGCGCGCCGCGAAUGUAGGACUAUUAAAACUUUUGUUCAAUAUUGUGACAAUGAAUGCAGUGCAACUUUAUUAUUUUUUCAUAUCACACGUACGCAUUAUAAUAAAUAAUUUUGACAAUGGGUGCCCAAAAUUCUAAAGAAGAGACACUGAUCGUGCAAAACGCUGCUGCUGGGGACAACCAAUCAACUAUUAAAGAAAUCCGAGGUCAUAUGAACACAACUAACAUAAUUCUGGUUGUAAUCCUGUUCGUCAUCCUGUUUGGUCUUUUGCACUGUGUAUACAAGUUAUAUAAAAAAUGCCAUGUAAAAUGGAUUGAUGAAGAGAUAAGCCGUUCAGCUACGAGAAGAUCGAUUUUUCGUCGUCAGUACCAACCCCGAAUUCCGAGACCAGAGGAGAAGUUCAAAUUUGAUCAAGAAGUUUAAGCAAUAAUGAAUGAAAUGAUUUCGAGCGGAAAAAAAAAUACAAUUGUGCGGUAAAAAAAAAAAAGUACGUAAAAUUAAUAAAAGUGUAAAGUGCAAAAAAAAAAAAA
RNA transcript from Bombyx mori (domestic silkworm), 10685 nucleotides. RefSeq lists it as uncharacterized. The record is from RefSeq and is a predicted model, not a curated record. Lineage: Eukaryota; Metazoa; Arthropoda; Insecta; Lepidoptera; Bombycidae. The transcript is spliced from 2 exons.